GUGAAUCAUCAAAUUUUUGAACGCAAAUUGCACUCUCCGGUUUUCCGGGAAGGUUGCCUUUUUUAAGGGCAAUCCUAAAAAAAUCGACAUUUUUGCUGUUUUAUGGUGGCUUUCGUCGGAUAUGGGGUCUCUUAAAUCUCGGUUUAAGCGACUUAAAAAUUUUUUUUACGAUUCUAUGAAUGUUUCUAAGAUUUCUCUUGUACGUUUAUGGUAUUGAUUGUCUUAUUAGACGUGGCCGUCAUAUCGGA
Molecule: unclassified non-coding RNA, 248 nt
Filed under: Glomus sp.
Lineage: Eukaryota; Fungi; Glomeromycota; Glomeromycetes; Glomerales; Glomeraceae
Description: partial internal transcribed spacer 2
Source: RNAcentral